CCUACGGGUGGCAGCAGUCGAGAAUCAUUCACAAUGGGGGAAACCCUGAUGGUGCGACGCCGCGUGGGGGAAUGAAGGUCUUCGGAUUGUAAACCCCUGUCAUGUGGGAGCAAAUUAAAAAGAUAGUACCACAAGAGGAAGAGACGGCUAACGCUGUGCCAGCAGCCGCGGUAAUACAGAGGUCUCAAGCGUUGUUCGGAAUCACUGGGCGUAAGGCGUGCGUAGGCUGUUUCGUAAGUCGGGUGUGAAAGGCGCGGGCUCAACCCGCGGACGGCACAUGAUACUGCGAGACUAGAGUAAUGGAGGGGGAACCGGAAUUCUCGGUGUAGCAGUGAAAUGCGUAGAUAUCGAGAGGAACACUCGUGGCGAAGGCGGGUUCCUGGACAUUAACUGACGCUGAGGCACGAAGGCCAGGGGAGCGAAAGGGAUUAGAUACCCUGGUAGUC
This 446-nucleotide ribosomal RNA is filed under the name uncultured bacterium. RNAcentral describes it as "partial 16S ribosomal RNA". It matches the Rfam family "Bacterial small subunit ribosomal RNA", at positions 338 to 795 of the family's 1533-position model. The record is from RNAcentral.